Non-coding RNA from Galeopterus variegatus (Sunda flying lemur), 345 nucleotides. The record is from the annotation of a RefSeq genome assembly. Lineage: Eukaryota; Metazoa; Chordata; Mammalia; Dermoptera; Cynocephalidae.
AUGAUGUCCCCAUCACAUCUCCUUGGGCUUCUGCUCCUCUGGGUUUCAGCUUCCAGGGGUGAUAUUGUGCUGACCCAGUCUCCAGACUCCCUGUCUGGAACUCCAGGGGAGAAAGUCACCAUCACCUGCCGGGCCAGUCAGAGCAUUAGCAGCAGCUUACACUGGUACCAGCAGAAACCGAAUCAGCCUCCAAAGCUUCUAAUAAAGUAUGCUUCUCAGUCCAUCUCUGGGAUCCCCUCACGGUUCAGUGGCAGUGGAUCUGGGACGGAUUUCACACUCACCAUCAGUAGCCUAGAAGCUGAAGAUGCUGCAACUUACUACUGUCAACAGAGCAGUAGUAAUCCU